AACGAACGCUGGCGGCAUGCCUAACACAUGCAAGUCGAACGAAGCCUUCGGGCUUAGUGGCGCACGGGUGCGUAACGCGUGGGAAUCUGCCCUUGGGUUCGGAAUAACAGUUAGAAAUGACUGCUAAUACCGAAUGAUGUCUUCGGACCAAAGAUUUAUCGCCCAAGGAUGAGCCCGCGUCGGAUUAGCUAGUUGGUGAGGUAAAGGCUCACCAAGGCGACGAUCCGUAGCUGGUCUGAGAGGAUGAUCAGCCACACUGGGACUGAGACACGGCCCAGACUCCUACGGGAGGCAGCAGUGGGGAAUAUUGGACAAUGGGCGAAAGCCUGAUCCAGUGAUGCCGCGUGAGUGAAGAAGGCCUCGGUUGUAAACGUACUUUCUACCUCGUGACGA
This 393-nucleotide ribosomal RNA is filed under the name uncultured bacterium. RNAcentral describes it as "bacterial SSU rRNA". It matches the Rfam family "Bacterial small subunit ribosomal RNA", at positions 29 to 448 of the family's 1533-position model. The record is from RNAcentral.